This 253-nucleotide ribosomal RNA is filed under the name uncultured bacterium. Its description in RNAcentral is "partial 16S ribosomal RNA". It matches the Rfam family "Bacterial small subunit ribosomal RNA", at positions 524 to 776 of the family's 1533-position model. The record is from RNAcentral.
UACAGAGGAGGCGAGCGUUAUCCGGAGUCAUUGGGCGUAAAGGGUACGUAGGCGGCUAGUCAAGUCUGAGGUUAAAGACCACAGCUUAACUGUGGAAAGGCCUUGGAAACUGACUGGCUAGAGUGGGGCAGGGGUUGCGGGAAUUCCCGGUGUAGCGGUGAAAUGCGUAGAUAUCGGGAAGAACACCUGAGGCGAAAGCGCGCAACUGGGCCCUGACUGACGCUGAGGUACGAAAGCUAGGGGAGCUAAUGGG